Molecule: ribosomal RNA, 253 nt
Filed under: uncultured bacterium
Lineage: Bacteria
Description: partial 16S ribosomal RNA
Rfam family: Bacterial small subunit ribosomal RNA
Source: RNAcentral
UACAGAGGUCUCAAGCGUUGUUCGGAUUCAUUGGGCGUAAAGGGCGCGUAGGCGGCUCAUGAAGGCUGUGGUGAAAGUCCGGGGCUCAACCUCGGAUCGGCCGUGGCGACUCGUGGGCUGGAGCACUGUAGAGGCGGGUGGAAUUCCGGGUGUAGCGGUGGAAUGCGUAGAGAUCCGGAAGAACACCAGUGGCGAAGGCGGCCCGCUGGGCAGUGGCUGACGCUGAGGCGCGACAGCGUGGGGAGCAAACAGG